This 1352-nucleotide ribosomal RNA is filed under the name uncultured bacterium. RNAcentral describes it as "bacterial SSU rRNA". It matches the Rfam family "Bacterial small subunit ribosomal RNA", at positions 28 to 1381 of the family's 1533-position model. The record is from RNAcentral.
AUUGAACGCUGGCGGCAUGCCUUACACAUGCAAGUCGAACGGCAGCACGGAGCUUGCUCUGGUGGCGAGUGGCGAACGGGUGAGUAAUAUAUCGGAACGUACCCUAGAGUGGGGGAUAACGUAGCGAAAGUUACGCUAAUACCGCAUACGAUCUAAGGAUGAAAGUGGGGGAUCGCAAGACCUCAUGCUCGUGGAGCGGCCGAUAUCUGAUUAGCUAGUUGGUAGGGUAAAAGCCUACCAAGGCAUCGAUCAGUAGCUGGUCUGAGAGGACGACCAGCCACACUGGAACUGAGACACGGUCCAGACUCCUACGGGAGGCAGCAGUGGGGAAUUUUGGACAAUGGGCGAAAGCCUGAUCCAGCAAUGCCGCGUGAGUGAAGAAGGCCUUCGGGUUGUAAAGCUCUUUUGUCAGGGAAGAAACGGUGAGAGCUAAUAUCUCUUGCUAAUGACGGUACCUGAAGAAUAAGCACCGGCUAACUACGUGCCAGCAGCCGCGGUAAUACGUAGGGUGCAAGCGUUAAUCGGAAUUACUGGGCGUAAAGCGUGCGCAGGCGGUUUUGUAAGUCUGAUGUGAAAUCCCCGGGCUCAACCUGGGAAUUGCAUUGGAGACUGCAAGGCUAGAAUCUGGCAGAGGGGGGUAGAAUUCCACGUGUAGCAGUGAAAUGCGUAGAUAUGUGGAGGAACACCGAUGGCGAAGGCAGCCCCCUGGGUCAAGAUUGACGCUCAUGCACGAAAGCGUGGGGAGCAAACAGGAUUAGAUACCCUGGUAGUCCACGCCCUAAACGAUGUCUACUAGUUGUCGGGUCUUAAUUGACUUGGUAACGCAGCUAACGCGUGAAGUAGACCGCCUGGGGAGUACGGUCGCAAGAUUAAAACUCAAAGGAAUUGACGGGGACCCGCACAAGCGGUGGAUGAUGUGGAUUAAUUCGAUGCAACGCGAAAAACCUUACCUACCCUUGACAUGGCUGGAAUCCUUGAGAGAUCAGGGAGUGCUCGAAAGAGAACCAGUACACAGGUGCUGCAUGGCUGUCGUCAGCUCGUGUCGUGAGAUGUUGGGUUAAGUCCCGCAACGAGCGCAACCCUUGUCAUUAGUUGCUACGAAAGGGCACUCUAAUGAGACUGCCGGUGACAAACCGGAGGAAGGUGGGGAUGACGUCAAGUCCUCAUGGCCCUUAUGGGUAGGGCUUCACACGUCAUACAAUGGUACAUACAGAGCGCCGCCAACCCGCGAGGGGGAGCUAAUCGCAGAAAGUGUAUCGUAGUCCGGAUUGUAGUCUGCAACUCGACUGCAUGAAGUUGGAACCGCUAGUAAUCGCGGAUCAGCAUGUCGCGGUGAAUACGUUCCCGGGUCU